Prionailurus viverrinus (fishing cat) is the source of this 478-nucleotide long non-coding RNA. RefSeq lists it as uncharacterized. The record is from RefSeq and is a predicted model, not a curated record. The transcript is spliced from 3 exons. Lineage: Eukaryota; Metazoa; Chordata; Mammalia; Carnivora; Felidae.
UACAAGUGCUCAUUUCCGCUCUCAAGUUCCAUUUCAAUCUUCUUUUCAGAACGGAGACAUUCUCUAGAUGCUCUCAGCUUGCUGUGGACUUGGCCAGAAAAAGAAAAAAAGAAGAAGAAGGAGGAGGAGGAGGAGAAGUCUUUUACAUGCCAUUAAGAAGUUCUAGCGUGCAGCUUUCCAGCCACCCAGGGAGGAAGGCUGGGAGGCACCACGGGCGACACGGGCCUUCGCCAAGUCCAACAGGUGCAGCACAGCCUGUGAUAUGACAAGAACAAAAGUCCUCCUGAUGAAAGUCUUCCAACAGCUUCUCCGAGAGGACGGCCUGAAGAACGUCGGGAGCCCAGUGCACAUGGCAUGCAGGGAGCUGCAGGUGACGCUCAGGUCCUGAGCUGCCGAGCCUCAAGUGGCAUGCAGCAUUUUGAAGGAAAAUGAGGAAUUGGUCAAGAAAACCUGAAUUCAAGCAAACCAUGAAAGUGAA